AUGGCUCAGGAUGAACGCUAGCUACAGGCUUAACACAUGCAAGUCGAGGGGCAGCAUUUUAGUUUGCUUGCAAACUAAAGAUGGCGACCGGCGCACGGGUGAGUAACACGUAUCCAACCUGCCGAUAACUCGGGGAUAGCCUUUCGAAAGAAAGAUUAAUAUCCGAUGGUAUAUUAAAACCGCAUGGUUUUACUAUUAAAGAAUUUCGGUUAUUGAUGGGGAUGCGUUCCAUUAGUUUGUUGGCGGGGUAACGGCCCACCAAGACUACGAUGGAUAGGGGUUCUGAGAGGAAGGUCCCCCACAUUGGAACUGAGACACGGUCCAAACUCCUACGGGAGGCAGCAGUGAGGAAUGUUGGUCAAUGGACGAGAGUCUGAACCAGCCAAGUAGCGUGAAGGAUGACUGCCCUAUGGGUUGUAAACUUCUUUUAUAUGGGAAUAAAGUAUUCCACGUGUGGGAUUUUGUAUGUACCAUAUGAAUAAGGAUCGGCUAACUCCGUGCCAGCAGCCGCGGUAAUACGGAGGAUCCGAGCGUUAUCCGGAUUUAUUGGGUUUAAAGGGAGCGUAGGUGGAUUGUUAAGUCAGUUGUGAAAGUUUGCGGCUCAACCGUAAAAUUGCAGUUGAAACUGGCAGUCUUGAGUACAGUAGAGGUGGGCGGAAUUCGUGGUGUAGCGGUGAAAUGCUUAGAUAUCACGAAGAACUCCGAUUGCGAAGGCAGCUCACUAGACUGCAACUGACACUGAUGCUCGAAAGUGUGGGUAUCAAACAGGAUUAGAUACCCUGGUAGUCCACACAGUAAACGAUGAAUACCCGCUGUUUGCGAUAUACAGUAAGCGGCCAAGCGAAAGCAUUAAGUAUUCCACCUGGGGAGUACGCCGGCAACGGUGAAACUCAAAGGAAUUGACGGGGGCCCGCACAAGCGGAGGAACAUGUGGUUUAAUUCGAUGAUACGCGAGGAACCUUACCCGGGCUUAAAUUGCAUUUGAAUAAUCUGGAAACAGGUUAGCCGCAAGGCAAAUGUGAAGGUGCUGCAUGGUUGUCGUCAGCUCGUGCCGUGAGGUGUCGGCUUAAGUGCCAUAACGAGCGCAACCCUUAUCUUUAGUUACUAACAGGUCAUGCUGAGGACUCUAGAGAGACUGCCGUCGUAAGAUGUGAGGAAGGUGGGGAUGACGUCAAAUCAGCACGGCCCUUACGUCCGGGGCUACACACGUGUUACAAUGGGGGGUACAGAAGGCAGCUACCUGGCGACAGGAUGCUAAUCCCAAAAACCUCUCUCAGUUCGGAUCGAAGUCUGCAACCCGACUUCGUGAAGCUGGAUUCGCUAGUAAUCGCGCAUCAGCCGUGGCGCGGUGAAUACGUUCCCGGGCCUUGUACACACCGCCCGUCAAGCCAUGAAAGCCGGGGGUACCUGAAGUACGUAACCGCAAGGAGCGUCCUAGGGUAAAACUGGUA
RNAcentral lists this ribosomal RNA (1451 nucleotides) under uncultured organism. RNAcentral describes it as "SSU rRNA". It matches the Rfam family "Bacterial small subunit ribosomal RNA". The record is from RNAcentral.